RNAcentral lists this ribosomal RNA (660 nucleotides) under uncultured bacterium. RNAcentral's name for it is "bacterial SSU rRNA". It matches the Rfam family "Bacterial small subunit ribosomal RNA", at positions 396 to 1046 of the family's 1533-position model. The record is from RNAcentral.
GCCGCGUGUGUGAAGAAGGCCUUCGGGUUGUAAAGCACUUUUGUUAGGGAGGAAAGUCUGGUAGCUAAUAACUGCUAGAUCUGACGUUACCUAAAGAAUCAGCACCGGCUAACUCUGUGCCAGCAGCCGCGGUAAUACAGAGGGUGCAAGCGUUAAUCGGAAUUACUGGGCGUAAAGGGUCUGUAGGCGGAUUAUUAAGUCGGAUGUGAAAUCCCCGGGCUCAACCUGGGAACGGCAUUCGAUACUGGUAGUCUAGAGUGUGCAAGAGGAUGGGGGAAUUCCUGGUGUAGCAGUGAAAUGCGUAGAGAUCAGGAGGAACAUCAAUGGCGAAGGCACCUUUCUGGGGCAACACUGACGCUGAGAGACGAAAGCGUGGGGAGCAAACAGGAUUAGAUACCCUGGUAGUCCACGCCCUAAACGAUGUCAACUAACUGUUCGGAGUCACUAAGAUUCUGAGUAGUGAAGCUAACGCGAUAAGUUGACCGCCUGGGGAGUACGGCCGCAGGGUUGAAACUCAAAGAAAUUGACGGGGGCCCGCACAAGCGGUGGAGUAUGUGGUUUAAUUCGAUGCAACGCGAAGAACCUUACCCGGUCUUGACAUGGUAGGAAUCUUGUAGAGAUACGAGAGUGCCUUCGGGAACCUACACACAGGUGCUGCAC